AUAAUGGGAUUUUCACAGCUGAAGAAGGCAGAGCCCCUCUUCACCAGCCCCUGCUUCCUGCCUUCAGGAAAAGGCAUUUGUGAAUGAUUCUACAUGACAGCAACAUGUGCUUGACUUGAGGCAUAAAUAAAUUUACUAAGAAGCUUCGAAAUCCCUAUUCCAUCGACAAUAAUGAGCUACUAGACUUCCUCUCUAGGGUACCGUCUGAUGUUCAAAAGGUGCAGUAUGCAGAAUUGAAACUCUGCAGCAGCCACAGCCCCCUGCGGAAGAAGCGCAGCGCUCUCUAGGGCACACACCGACUUUGGACAGCAGCACCCAAUAUUGUGUUUGGUUGAGUAGACCAAUGUUAUGGCUGUUUCAGUGGUACCCAAGGUGUCCUUCUGAAAUGCAUGCCCUGUGGCACCCUCUGUAUACUUCCUCCUCCUUCACGUGCACAGACAUACACACAUGUGCACACACCCUCAUGCAUGGGUGUCCUAGUUGCGUAGAGGGUCAGCCCAGCAAAAAGCAACAAUCCCAAGACUGUGAAAGACUAACAUCCAUUCUGAAAUAGGAGAUAACGAGGCUGCCAUGGAUCUGAGCACCACCUUCCUUGAGAACAGCCAGGAGCCCACUUGGAUUCAAGAGUGACUUUGAACUUGUUUUCACACCUCCAACAGACUCUCAUUAAGAUUCAGUUAUUUCCGCUCCCCAGCCCCACACUCCUUUCAGAUUAUCGUUCAUGGGCGUAAGUCUUUUCUCAGAGUUAACAAGUCUUUGGUAGUCAUCCUCUGUCCAAAUAUUGUAUAUUAUUAAAAGGCAUUUUUAAUAAUUACCAGAAUUAGCUCAAACCUUUA
This 836-nucleotide small RNA is filed under the name Pan troglodytes (chimpanzee). Its description in RNAcentral is "processed transcript". The record is from RNAcentral. Lineage: Eukaryota; Metazoa; Chordata; Mammalia; Primates; Hominidae.